RNAcentral lists this long non-coding RNA (301 nucleotides) under Homo sapiens (human). RNAcentral describes it as "non-protein coding lnc-C16orf78-1:6". The record is from RNAcentral. Lineage: Eukaryota; Metazoa; Chordata; Mammalia; Primates; Hominidae.
CCUCAUAUAAAGUGUGAACCUAAGAUACUUAAGAGAAGCCACUAAUUUCUGGUUCAGAGUGAAAAUAAGGGCACCUACAAAACAGGGAGAGUGAGGAAUGAAGCCAUUGAAGCAACUUGGACGUCGGGAAUUCACUGAAGACCAGACUAAAGAGGGGCUUGUUCUAAUAGAAAUUCAUCUAAAAAGUUGGAGAUUCUGUAGAAGAUCUGAUGAAGAGGGCCAAUCACUGAGGAAAAAUGGAUAGCAUCCUAAAACAGUGGGUAGUAAGGGAACCGGUAUGUCUGAUCUUUUAAAGGAAAGA